RNAcentral lists this long non-coding RNA (1634 nucleotides) under Sus scrofa (pig). RNAcentral's name for it is "lncRNA (ENSSSCG00015055836.1)". The record is from RNAcentral. Lineage: Eukaryota; Metazoa; Chordata; Mammalia; Artiodactyla; Suidae.
CUGAUGUGUGAGAAAGAAAAUGCACCAUUUCCUUAAGACACCUCUGACAAAAGUUUUUUUGUUGCAUACUGCCAUCACCAGAACAUUUUAACAGUAACAGAUACACAAAUAUACAGCAGAUACACAAAUCUCUGAUGUCUGCCGCGUGAAAGGCCCCUCUUAGAUGCGAUGCCACUGGUUGGAUGUAGCUUACGGUGGUAAGAAUAAAGAAAUAGAUUUUCCACUACAUCUUGCAGCCAAGUGACUGCCAUUUUUCUUCCAUUCUCUCUUUUGUGAGCUUUCAUUAUCCUGGUGUCCUGAUAUAGCGGGGUCCUAGGGAUGUUUUAUUCUAAGGAUAUGAGUCUGUGGACACAUUGUACUGCUAGCACUAUUUUCUAAUUUGCGAGAGAUUUCUAUUUUAAGAAUAGUUCAUUGCAGGUUCCCAUUGUGGCACAGUGGAAACGAAUCGGACUAGCACCCUUGAGGAUGCGGGUUCAGUCCCUGGCUUCGCUCAGUGGAUUAAGGAUCUGGCACUGCUGAGAGCUGUGGUGUAGGUCAUAGAUGCGGCUCGGAUCCCGCAUUGCUGUGAAUUGGUGUAGGCCGGCAGCUGCAGCUCCGAUUCGACCCCUAGCAGACGCAGCCCUAAAAAGCAAAAAAAAAAAAAGAAUGUUUCUAACCUUAGCUUGAAAAUCCUAACAGUCUUUGAUCUCCGUAUCGUCAGAAUAUUUUCUGAAACGUCUUACUGUGACAUCAUCAACUCUGUGCUGGGAACAAUCAUAGUCAUGGAAAUCAACUAAUUCCCAUUGCGUGUUUAUAAUGUGCCUGGGAUUGUGUUUAGAUCUUGCCUUAGUUUGGUUGGGGUACCUUAGCACAAUGCUGCCGACUGAGUAGCUUAAGCAACAAACAUUUCUUUUCUCAUCGUUCUGGAGACUCGAAGUCCCAGACCAGUAUUGGUGCGACUUUCUUCCUGGGCUUUCUUCAUUGUUUGCGCUGUUUUUUAAAGUAACAUGGUCAACCUGAAGCUGCCAUGUCUCAUAUCGAGUAGUCUGUCUCUGUGGUGAAUGUAGAAGAUUUUUUUUUUUUUUAAAUCUUUCUUUGUCAUUUACUCUUCUGGCUCAGCCCCUCUGGCAACUCUUAGAGCAGGACCUGACACGUGUCCUGACACCACAGUUAGGAAGACUCUUUAUGCUCUGUGAUUGGGGUCAGCAAAAUUUUGCAUAAAGAGCCAGGAAGUAAUAAACAUUUUAGACUUUGCUGACCACAUAAGGUGUCUGUGUGUGUGUGUAUAUAUAUAUAUUUUUUCCACACACACGCACACACUUACAAGCCUUAUAUAUAUGUGUGUUGUGUAUAAAAUAACCCUUUAAGAGUGUAAAAACUCUUUUAGAGAGUAGGCCUUACAGAUAAGGGGCUCUCUUUGGUUUGCUGACUCUUGUUCAAUGAUAUAAUAAUAUCUUAACUUAGGGAUCCCUUCAUUUGAAAAGACAAUAAUUAUGAACAGCUUAAAAUCUGAACCAAGUUAUGACCGAUUGAACUUUAUAGCUUUCUAACCUCAAAGACUGAACAAGUCUAAACAUAGUCAGACAAAUGCUUUAGUUUGAUUUAUCUUUGCCUUUUUAAAAGUAAAUUGAACCUUAAGAAUAUAUAUUUCAAAG